AUGUCCCCUCAAAAUUCACAUGUUGAAGUUCUAAGCCCAAUGUGAUAGUAUUUGGAGACGGGCCUUGGAGAGGUAUUUAGGUUUAGAUGAGGUCAUAAGGGUGGUGUCCCCAUGAUGGGAUUAGACAUCACAAAGCUCGCCUUCCUCUCUCUGUCUCUGCCACAUGAGGACAAAGAGAAAGUGGUCACCCUUAAGCCAGGAAGAUAGUUCUCAUCAGAACUCAAUCAUUCCAGCACAAUGAUCUUGGACUUCGCCUACGGAACUAGGAAAAGCCAUUUGAGGACAAAGCCAUCUAUAAACAAGGAAGAGAGCCCUUAUCAGGAACCUAAAUGACCAGCACUUUGAUCUGGGACUUCCAGCCUCCAGAACAGUGAGAAAAUAGACUUUUGUUGUUGAAGCCCC
This is a long non-coding RNA of Leopardus geoffroyi (Geoffroy's cat), 402 nucleotides long. RefSeq lists it as uncharacterized. The transcript is spliced from 2 exons. Lineage: Eukaryota; Metazoa; Chordata; Mammalia; Carnivora; Felidae. The record is from RefSeq and is a predicted model, not a curated record.